UACGUAGGGGGCUAGCGUUGUCCGGAAUCAUUGGGCUUCAAGCGCGCGUAGGCGGCCCGAUAAGUCCGGUGUGAAAGCCACAGGCUCAACCUGUGAAUGCCGCUGGAAACUGUCUGGCUAGAGUCCGGGAGGGGCGAGUGGAAUUCCUGGUGUAGCGGUGAAAUGCGCAGAUAUCAGGAGGAACACCGGUGGCGAAGGCGCCACUCUGGGCCGAAACUGACGCUGAGGAGCGAAAGCGUGGGUAGCAAACAGG
RNAcentral lists this ribosomal RNA (253 nucleotides) under uncultured bacterium. RNAcentral describes it as "partial 16S ribosomal RNA". It matches the Rfam family "Bacterial small subunit ribosomal RNA", at positions 524 to 776 of the family's 1533-position model. The record is from RNAcentral.